Molecule: ribosomal RNA, 468 nt
Filed under: uncultured bacterium
Lineage: Bacteria
Description: partial 16S ribosomal RNA
Rfam family: Bacterial small subunit ribosomal RNA
Source: RNAcentral
GACGAACGCUGGCGGCGUGCUUAACACAUGCAAGUCGAACGGAAAGGCCCUGCUUUUGUGGGGUGCUCGAGUGGCGAACGGGUGAGUAACACGUGAGUAACCUGCCCUUGACUUUGGGAUAACUUCAGGAAACUGGGGCUAAUACCGGAUAGGAGCUCCUGCUGCAUGGUGGGGGUUGGAAAGUUUCGGCGGUUGGGGAUGGACUCGCGGCUUAUCAGCUUGUUGGUGGGGUAGUGGCUUACCAAGGCUUUGACGGGUAGCCGGCCUGAGAGGGUGACCGGCGUCAUUGGGACUGAGAUACGGCCCAGACUCCUACGGGAGGCAGCAGUGGGGAAUAUUGCACAAUGGGCGGAAGCCUGAUGCAGCAACGCCGCGUGCGUGAUGACGGCCUUCGGGUUGUAAACCGCUUUCGCCUGUGACGAAGCGUGAGUGACGGUAAUGGGUAAAGAAGCACCGGCUAACUACGUG